RNAcentral lists this transfer RNA (90 nucleotides) under Acinetobacter baumannii. RNAcentral describes it as "tRNA-Ser(gga)". It matches the Rfam family "tRNA". Rfam says of the family: Transfer RNA (tRNA) molecules are approximately 80 nucleotides in length. Their secondary structure includes four short double-helical elements and three loops (D, anti-codon, and T loops). Further hydrogen bonds mediate the characteristic L-shaped molecular structure. tRNAs have two regions of fundamental functional importance: the anti-codon, which is responsible for specific mRNA codon recognition, and the 3' end, to which the tRNAs corresponding amino acid is attached (by aminoacyl-tRNA synthetases). tRNAs cope with the degeneracy of the genetic code in two manners: having more than one tRNA (with a specific anti-codon) for a particular amino acid; and 'wobble' base-pairing, i.e. permitting non-standard base-pairing at the 3rd anti-codon position. RNAcentral also lists the same sequence under 1 other name. The record is from RNAcentral. Lineage: Bacteria; Pseudomonadati; Pseudomonadota; Gammaproteobacteria; Moraxellales; Moraxellaceae.
GGUGAGGUGUCCGAGUGGCUGAAGGAGCACGCCUGGAAAGUGUGUAUAUGUUUACGCGUAUCGAGGGUUCGAAUCCCUCUCUCACCGCCA